CCACAGAUCAGUUCUCCUCCCUGUUGGCUUCUUUCUUUUCUUCCUCCAUCUCUUCCCACCCCUCCCUGAUAUUUAUUUUCCUCUGUCCCCACCCUCUCUUUCACUUAGUUUCUAACCCCCUUCUUUUCCCAUUUGCUCUCUUUCUGUCCUCCCUCUCCCUUCCCUUUGUCCCCAUUUCCUGUCAAGCUCAGCCUCUGUCCACCAAUGUUGUCCCUUUGUCCUCCUCUCUUUUUCCUACUUCAACCCUCUCAUUCUUGUUACCUUCCUGACAUCUUAUGUGGGAAAGUGAUCCUGUCACCUGCCUGAAAUCUUGAUCUUCCAAGGAAUUCACAUAGUCUCACUGAACUCUGCAGGACUCUGUGCAGAUAGAAAAUCAAAGCCCAUCUGAUGUUGAGAGAGUGAAGUCUCCUCCCACUGGAAAACUGAGCUUUCAGAAAGAAUACCAAGUCCCAAGGAUGCCAGAAGAGAGAGUAAGAAUGUGGUCACUGACUGGACUCUGGACUGGAUUUGCCUGUUAGUAGCUAAUCGUCCAUGUACAGGAAGACAAUAUAGCUGUUUACUCUCAUCUGGACCACCACCACUUAGAAGAACUUCGCAAAGAUAAUGCGGGGUACUGUAGCUAUCCCAAACAGGAGUACUCUGACCUGAAAGUGCUCCUAAGGAAUCUGAAGAGCCUUCUGUGGAAUGGAUGAUUGUCCACAUGAAAAUAAGCAUUUUUUCACAUCAAGAGCCACGAACCACAUGCCCUCCUCCAGAGAAGAUAUUAUUGAUGUCAGUGUGACCACGCAAAAUUUUGAUUUUCAAAUAAUAACUUUUAGCUGGCAUAGAACGAUAAUUGAUCUGCAUCCUGUUUU
Long non-coding RNA from Mauremys mutica (yellowpond turtle), 854 nucleotides. RefSeq lists it as uncharacterized. The transcript has 3 exons. NCBI's taxonomy places the organism in Eukaryota, Metazoa, Chordata, Testudines, Geoemydidae. The record is from RefSeq and is a predicted model, not a curated record.